GAGGAAAGCUGGGGGCGUGCCUAAUACAUGCAAGUCGAGCGAACAGACGAGGAGCUUGCUCCUCUGACGUUAGCGGCGGACGGGUGAGUAACACGUGGAUAACCUACCUAUAAGACUGGGAUAACUUCGGGAAACCGGAGCUAAUACCGGAUAAUAUAUUGAACCGCAUGGUUCAAUAGUGAAAGACGGUUUUGCUGUCACUUAUAGAUGGAUCCGCGCCGCAUUAGCUAGUUGGUAAGGUAACGGCUUACCAAGGCAACGAUGCGUAGCCGACCUGAGAGGGUGAUCGGCCACACUGGAACUGAGACACGGUCCAGACUCCUACGGGAGGCAGCAGUAGGGAAUCUUCCGCAAUGGGCGAAAGCCUGACGGAGCAACGCCGCGUGAGUGAUGAAGGUCUUCGGAUCGUAAAACUCUGUUAUUAGGGAAGAACAAAUGUGUAAGUAACUAUGCACGUCUUGACGGUACCUAAUCAGAAAGCCACGGCUAACUACGUG
This 497-nucleotide ribosomal RNA is filed under the name uncultured bacterium. RNAcentral's name for it is "partial 16S ribosomal RNA". It matches the Rfam family "Bacterial small subunit ribosomal RNA", at positions 28 to 507 of the family's 1533-position model. The record is from RNAcentral.